UCCCUGGUGGUCCAGUGGUUAAGACCCUGCAUUUCCACUGCAGGGGUUUUAGGUUCAAUUCCUCCUCAGGCAC
This 73-nucleotide transfer RNA is filed under the name Ovis aries (sheep). It matches the Rfam family "tRNA". Rfam says of the family: Transfer RNA (tRNA) molecules are approximately 80 nucleotides in length. Their secondary structure includes four short double-helical elements and three loops (D, anti-codon, and T loops). Further hydrogen bonds mediate the characteristic L-shaped molecular structure. tRNAs have two regions of fundamental functional importance: the anti-codon, which is responsible for specific mRNA codon recognition, and the 3' end, to which the tRNAs corresponding amino acid is attached (by aminoacyl-tRNA synthetases). tRNAs cope with the degeneracy of the genetic code in two manners: having more than one tRNA (with a specific anti-codon) for a particular amino acid; and 'wobble' base-pairing, i.e. permitting non-standard base-pairing at the 3rd anti-codon position. Lineage: Eukaryota; Metazoa; Chordata; Mammalia; Artiodactyla; Bovidae. The record is from Rfam by way of RNAcentral.